RNAcentral lists this ribosomal RNA (253 nucleotides) under uncultured bacterium. RNAcentral describes it as "partial 16S ribosomal RNA". It matches the Rfam family "Bacterial small subunit ribosomal RNA", at positions 524 to 776 of the family's 1533-position model. The record is from RNAcentral.
GACGAACCGUCCUAACGUUGUUCGGAAUCACUGGGCUUAAAGGGCGCGUAGGCGGACCACCAAGUCCGGGGUGAAAUCUUUCGGCUUAACCGGAAAAGUGCCUUGGAUACUGGUGGUCUCGAGUGAGGUAGGGGCAUGUGGAACUUCCGGUGGAGCGGUGAAAUGCGUAGAUAUCGGAAGGAACACCGGUGGCGAAAGCGGCGUGCUGGAUCCCUUCUGACGCUGAGGCGCGAAAGCCAGGGGAGCGAACGGG